UGAGCAAUCUGCCCUUCUCAUCGGAAUAAGCGUUGGAAACGACGUCUAAUGCCGAAUACGACCUCCUUUCGCAUGAUCGGAGGUGGAAAGCUCCGGCGGAGAAGGAUGAGCUCGCGGCCUAUCAGCUAGUUGGUGUGGGUAAUGGCCCACCAAGGCGACGACGGGUAGCCGGCCUGAGAGGAUGACCGGCCACACUGGGACUGAGACACGGCCCAGACUCCGUAGGAGG
This 229-nucleotide ribosomal RNA is filed under the name uncultured bacterium. RNAcentral's name for it is "partial 16S ribosomal RNA". It matches the Rfam family "Bacterial small subunit ribosomal RNA", at positions 118 to 348 of the family's 1533-position model. The record is from RNAcentral.